AACACGACUCUCGGCAACGGAUAUCUCGGCUCUCGCAUCGAUGAAGAACGUAGCAAAAUGCGAUACCUGGUGUGAAUUGCAGAAUCCCGCGAACCAUCGAGUUUUUGAACGCAAGUUGCGCCCGAAGCCUCCAGGCCGAGGGCACGUCUGCCUGGGCGUCACGC
Molecule: ribosomal RNA, 164 nt
Filed under: Arundinella nepalensis
Lineage: Eukaryota; Viridiplantae; Streptophyta; Magnoliopsida; Poales; Poaceae
Description: 5.8S ribosomal RNA
Rfam family: 5.8S ribosomal RNA
About the family: 5.8S ribosomal RNA (5.8S rRNA) is a component of the large subunit of the eukaryotic ribosome.
Source: RNAcentral